UACAGAGGUCUCAAGCGUUGUUCGGAUUCAUUGGGCGUAAAGGGUGCGUAGGCGGCGCGGUAAGUCGGGUGUGAAAUUUCGAGGCUUAACUUCGAAACUGCGUUCGAUACUGCCGUGCUAGAGGACUGGAGAGGAGACUGGAAUUUACGGUGUAGCGGUGAAAUGCGUAGAUAUCGUAAGGAAGACCAGUGGCGAAGGCGGGUCUCUGGACAGUUCCUGACGCUGAGGCACGAAGGCCAGGGGAGCAAACGGG
Molecule: ribosomal RNA, 253 nt
Filed under: uncultured bacterium
Lineage: Bacteria
Description: partial 16S ribosomal RNA
Rfam family: Bacterial small subunit ribosomal RNA
Source: RNAcentral